GGGGAAUAUUGCGCAAUGGGGGGAACCCUGACGCAGCAACGCCGCGUGAGCGAGGAAGGCCUUCGGGUCGUAAAGCUCCGUCUAGAGGGAUGAAUGAUGACAGUACCUCUGGAGGAAGCCCCGGCUAACUACGUGCCAGCAGCCGCGGUAACACGUAGGGGGCGAGCGUUGUCCGGAAUUACUGGGCGUAAAGGGCGCGUAGGCGGUAGGUUAAGUCGGAUGUGAAAGUCCAUGGCUCAACCAUGGAAUUGCAUAUGAAACUGAUCUACUUGAGUUCAGGAGAGGAGAGCGGAAUUCCUAGUGUAGCGGUGAAAUGCGUAGAGAUUAGGAAGAACACCAGUGGCGAAGGCGGCUCUCUGGACUGUAACUGACGCUGAGGCGCGAAAGCGUGGGUAGCGAAC
RNAcentral lists this ribosomal RNA (401 nucleotides) under uncultured bacterium. Its description in RNAcentral is "bacterial SSU rRNA". It matches the Rfam family "Bacterial small subunit ribosomal RNA", at positions 356 to 773 of the family's 1533-position model. The record is from RNAcentral.